GGAAGGGUGGCCGAGUGGUUUAAGGCAACGGUCUUGAAAACCGUCGUGGGGGCAACUCCACCGUGGGUUCGAAUCCCACCCCUUCCGCCA
RNAcentral lists this transfer RNA (90 nucleotides) under Methylovirgula sp. 4M-Z18. Its description in RNAcentral is "tRNA-Ser". It matches the Rfam family "tRNA". Rfam says of the family: Transfer RNA (tRNA) molecules are approximately 80 nucleotides in length. Their secondary structure includes four short double-helical elements and three loops (D, anti-codon, and T loops). The record is from RNAcentral. Lineage: Bacteria; Pseudomonadati; Pseudomonadota; Alphaproteobacteria; Hyphomicrobiales; Beijerinckiaceae. RNAcentral also lists the same sequence under 1 other name.